GGCGUGUGACUGCGUACCUUUUGUAUAAUGGGUCAGCGACUUAUAUUCUGUAGCAAGGUUAACCGAAUAGGGGAGCCGAAGGGAAACCGAGUCUUAACUGGGCGUUAAGUUGCAGGGUAUAGACCCGAAACCCGGUGAUCUAGCCAUGGGCAGGUUGAAGGUUGGGUAACACUAACUGGAGGACCGAACCGACUAAUGUUGAAAAAUUAGCGGAUGACUUGUGGCUGGGGGUGAAAGGCCAAUCAAACCGGGAGAUAGCUGGUUCUCCCCGAAAGCUAUUUAGGUAGCGCCUCGUGAAUUCAUCUCCGGGGGUAGAGCACUGUUUCGGCAAGGGGGUCAUCCCGACUUACCAACCCGAUGCAAACUGCGAAUACCGGAGAAUGUUAUCACGGGAGACACACGGCGGGUGCUAACGUCCGUCGUGAAGAGGGAAACAACCCAGACCGCCAGCUAAGGUCCCAAAGUCAUGGUUAAGUGGGAAACGAUGUGGGAAGGCCCAGACAGCCAGGAUGUUGGCUUAGAAGCAGCCAUCAUUUAAAGAAAGCGUAAUAGCUCACUGGUCGAGUCGGCCUGCGCGGAAGAUGUAACGGGGCUAAACCAUGCACCGAAGCUGCGGCAGCGACGCUUAUGCGUUGUUGGGUAGGGGAGCGUUCUGUAAGCCUGUGAAGGUGUGCUGUGAGGCAUGCUGGAGGUAUCAGAAGUGCGAAUGCUGACAUAAGUAACGAUAAAGCGGGUGAAAAGCCCGCUCGCCGGAAGACCAAGGGUUCCUGUCCAACGUUAAUCGGGGCAGGGUGAGUCGACCCCUAAGGCGAGGCCGAAAGGCGUAGUCGAUGGGAAACAGGUUAAUAUUCCUGUACUUGGUGUUACUGCGAAGGGGGGACGGAGAAGGCUAUGUUGGCCGGGCGACGGUUGUCCCGGUUUAAGCGUGUAGGCUGGUUUUCCAGGCAAAUCCGGAAAAUCAAGGCUGAGGCGUGAUGACGAGGCACUACGGUGCUGAAGCAACAAAUGCCCUGCUUCCAGGAAAAGCCUCUAAGCAUCAGGUAACAUCAAAUCGUACCCCAAACCGACACAGGUGGUCAGGUAGAGAAUACCAAGGCGCUUGAGAGAACUCGGGUGAAGGAACUAGGCAAAAUGGUGCCGUAACUUCGGGAGAAGGCACGCUGAUAUGUAGGUGAAGUCCCUCGCGGAUGGAGCUGAAAUCAGUCGAAGAUACCAGCUGGCUGCAACUGUUUAUUAAAAACACAGCACUGUGCAAACACGAAAGUGGACGUAUACGGUGUGACGCCUGCCCGGUGCCGGAAGGUUAAUUGAUGGGGU
Molecule: ribosomal RNA, 1317 nt
Filed under: Escherichia coli
Lineage: Bacteria; Pseudomonadati; Pseudomonadota; Gammaproteobacteria; Enterobacterales; Enterobacteriaceae
Description: partial 23S ribosomal RNA
Rfam family: Bacterial large subunit ribosomal RNA
Source: RNAcentral